CCUACGGGUGGCAGCAGUGGGGGAUAUUGCACAAUGGGGGGAACCCUGAUGCAGCGACGCCGCGUGGGUGAAGAAGCGCCUCGGCGCGUAAAGCCCUGUCAGCAGGGAAGAAAAUGACGGUACGUGAAGAAGAAGCCCCGGCUAACUACGUGCCAGCAGCCGUGGGAAUACGUAGGGGGCAAGCGUUAUCCGGAUUUUCUGGGUGUAAAGGGGGCGCAGACGGGGAUGCAAGCCAGGAGUGAAAGCCAGGGGCCCAACCCCGGGAAUGCUCUUGGAACUGCGUGGCUGGAGUGCAGGAGGGGCAGGCGGAAUACCUGGUGUAGCGGUGAAAUGCGUAGAUAUCAGUAGGAACACCGAUGGCGAAGGCAGCCUGCUGGACUGCAACUGACGUUGAGGCCCGAGAGCGUGGGGAGCAAACAGGAUUAGAUACCCCUGUAGUC
RNAcentral lists this ribosomal RNA (440 nucleotides) under uncultured bacterium. RNAcentral's name for it is "partial 16S ribosomal RNA". It matches the Rfam family "Bacterial small subunit ribosomal RNA", at positions 338 to 795 of the family's 1533-position model. The record is from RNAcentral.